Transfer RNA from Ovis aries (sheep), 73 nucleotides. It matches the Rfam family "tRNA". From Rfam's summary of the family: Transfer RNA (tRNA) molecules are approximately 80 nucleotides in length. NCBI's taxonomy places the organism in Eukaryota, Metazoa, Chordata, Mammalia, Artiodactyla, Bovidae. The record is from Rfam.
UCCCUGGUGGCUCAGAGGGUAAAGCAUCUGCCUGCAAUGUGGAAGACCUGGGUUUGAUCUCCAGGUCAGGAAG